CCUACGGGAGGCAGCAGUAGGGAAUAUUGCUCAAUGGGGGAAACCCUGAAGCAGCAACGCCGCGUGGAGGAUGAAGGUUUUCGGAUUGUAAACUCCUUUUGUUAGAGAAGAUAAUGACGGUAUCUAACGAAUAAGCACCGGCUAACUCCGUGCCAGCAGCCGCGGUAAUACGGAGGGUGCAAGCGUUACUCGGACUCACUGGGCGUAAAGAGCGCGUAGGCGGGAUAGCAAGUCAGAUGUGAAAUCCUAGGGCUUAACCAUAGAACUGCAUUUGAAACUGGUAUUCUAGAGUAUGGGAGAGGUAGGUGGAAUUCUUGGUGUAGGGGUAAAAUCCGUAGAGAUAAAGAGGAAUACUCAUUGCGAAGGCGACCUGCUAGAACAUAACUGACGCUGAUGCGCGAAAGCGUGGGGAGCAAACAGGAUUAGAUACCCGAGUAGUC
RNAcentral lists this ribosomal RNA (440 nucleotides) under uncultured bacterium. RNAcentral's name for it is "partial 16S ribosomal RNA". It matches the Rfam family "Bacterial small subunit ribosomal RNA", at positions 338 to 795 of the family's 1533-position model. The record is from RNAcentral.